This 227-nucleotide unclassified non-coding RNA is filed under the name Archaeospora sp. RNAcentral's name for it is "partial contains 5.8S ribosomal RNA and internal transcribed spacer 2". The stretch from base 1 to 71 matches the Rfam family "5.8S ribosomal RNA", at positions 84 to 154 of the family's 154-position model. Lineage: Eukaryota; Fungi; Glomeromycota; Glomeromycetes; Archaeosporales; Archaeosporaceae. The record is from RNAcentral.
GUGAAUCAUCGAAUCUUUGAACGCAUAUUGCACUCUCUGGUAUUCCGGGGGGUAUGCCUGUUUGAGCGUCAUUUGUAAUAAUAUAAAUUCCAAGAUGUCGGGUGAUUUAAAAUGGGUUGUCCAUUUUUUGUGCUCGCCUAAAAUCCAAGCCGAGCUCAUUUUCUUGGGUUGCGUGAUACUUUCAGUUACCUAGUGACUUAACCAGGAAUCAUCGGGCAUGUUAUGAC